CCGUAUAACAAUACUCCGAGAACUGAAAGGCUUUUUGAAGUCUUCGGAUGGAUAGAAGAACCCCUGAUGCCGUCGAGCCAAGAAAAGUUUCUAAGUUUAGCUAAUGUUGCCCGUACCGUAAACCGACACAGGUGGGUGGGAUGAGUAUUCUAAGGCGCGUGGAAGAACUCUCUUUAAGGAACUCUGCAAAAUAGCACCGUAUCUUCGGUAUAAGGUGUGGUUCGCUUCGUAUUAGGAUUUACUCCGAAAGCGAAGAAACUUACAACAAAGAGUCCCUCCCGACUGUUUACCAAAAACACAGCACUCUGCUAACUCGUAAGAGGAUGUAUAGGGUGUGACGCCUGCCCGGUGCUCGAAGGUUAAUUGAUGGGGUUAGCAUUAGCGAAGCUCUUGAUCGAAGCCCGAGUAAACGGCGGCCGUAACUAUAACGGUCCUAAGGUAGCGAAAUUCCUUGUCGGUUAAAUACCGACCUGCAUGAAUGGCGUAACGAGAUGGGAGCUGUCUCAAAGAGGGAUCCAGUGAAAUUGUAGUGGAGGUGAAAAUUCCUCCUACCCGCGGCAAGACGGAAAGACCCCGUGGACCUUUACUACAGCUUGACACUGCUACUUGGAUAAGAAUGUGCAGGAUAGGUGGGAGGCUUUGAGUAUAUGACGCCAGUUGUAUAUGAGCCAUUGUUGAGAUACCACUCUUUCUUAUUUGGGUAGCUAACCAGCUUGAGUUAUCCUCAAGUGGGACAAUGUCUGGUGGGUAGUUUGACUGGGGCGGUCGCCUCCCAAAUAAUAACGGAGGCUUACAAAGGUUGGCUCAGAACGGUUGGAAAUCGUUCGUAGAGUAUAAAGGUAUAAGCCAGCUUAACUGCAAGACAUACAAGUCAAGCAGAGACGAAAGUCGGUCUUAGUGAUCCGGUGGUUCUGUGUGGAAGGGCCAUCGCUCAAAGGAUAAAAGGUACCCCGGGGAUAACAGGCUGAUCUCCCCCAAGAGCUCACAUCGACGGGGAGGUUUGGCACCUCGAUGUCGGCUCAUCGCAUCCUGGGGCUGGAGCAGGUCCCAAGGGUAUGGCUGUUCGCCAUUUAAAGCGGUACGCGAGCUGGGUUCAGAACGUCGUGAGACAGUUCGGUCCCUAUCUGCCGUGGGCGUAAGAAGAUUGAAGAGAUUUGACCCUAGUACGAGAGGACCGGGUUGAACAAACCACUGGUGUAGCUGUUGUUCUGCCAAGAGCAUCGCAGCGUAGCUAAGUUUGGAAAGGAUAAACGCUGAAAGCAUCUAAGCGUGAAGCCAACUCUAAGAUGAAUCUUCUCUAAGCUCUCUAGAAGACUACUAGUUUGAUAGGCUGGGUGUGUAAUGGAUGAAAGUCCUUUAGCUGACCAGUACUAAUAGAGCGUUUGGCUUAUCUUUAAUAAAGCAU
This 1405-nucleotide ribosomal RNA is filed under the name Campylobacter coli. Its description in RNAcentral is "partial 23S ribosomal RNA". It matches the Rfam family "Bacterial large subunit ribosomal RNA", at positions 1534 to 2925 of the family's 2925-position model. The record is from RNAcentral. Lineage: Bacteria; Pseudomonadati; Campylobacterota; Epsilonproteobacteria; Campylobacterales; Campylobacteraceae.